AUUGAACGCUGGCGGCAGGCCUAACACAUGCAAGUCGAGCGAGCGGCGGACGGGUGUGAAAUGUAUGGGGACUCUCCGAUAGAGGGGGAUAACUAUUGGAAAAGGUAGCGAAUACCGCAUACUAUCGGAUAACCCAUAUGGGAUUAGCUCGUAGGUGUGGUAAUGGCUCACUUAGGCGACGCUCCCUAGCUGGUCUGAGAGGAUGAUCAGCCACACUGGGACUGAGACACGGCCCAGACUCCUACGGAGGCAGCAGUGGGGAAUAUUGCACAAUGGGCGCAAGCCUGAUGCAGCCAUGCCGCGUGUAUGAAGAAGGCCCUAGGGUUGUAAAGUACUUUCAGCCGGGAGGCGUUACCGACAGAAGAAGCACCGGCUAACUCCGUGCCAGCAGCCGCGGUAAUUC
RNAcentral lists this ribosomal RNA (403 nucleotides) under uncultured bacterium. RNAcentral's name for it is "partial 16S ribosomal RNA". It matches the Rfam family "Bacterial small subunit ribosomal RNA", at positions 30 to 526 of the family's 1533-position model. The record is from RNAcentral.